This 430-nucleotide ribosomal RNA is filed under the name uncultured bacterium. Its description in RNAcentral is "bacterial SSU rRNA". It matches the Rfam family "Bacterial small subunit ribosomal RNA", at positions 917 to 1345 of the family's 1533-position model. The record is from RNAcentral.
GGGCCCGCACAAGCGGUGGAGCAUGUGGUUUAAUUCGACGCAACGCGAAGAACCUUACCAGGUCUUGACAUCCUGAUUUUGGUCGUUAGAAAUAACUUCCUUCAGUUCGGCUGGAUCAGUGACAGGUGCUGCAUGGCUGUCGUCAGCUCGUGUCGUGAGAUGUUGGGUUAAGUCCCGCAACGAGCGCAACCCUCACUUUUAGUUGCCAUCAUUAAGUUGGGCACUCUGAAAGAACUGCCAGUGAUAAGCUGGAGGAAGGUGGGGAUGACGUCAAGUCCUCAUGGCCCUUACGUGUUGGGCUACACACGUGCUACAAUGGUAUCUACAACAGGAAGCAAGACUGCGAAGUUAAGCAAAUCCUUAAAAGAUACCUCAGUUCGGAUUGCACUCUGCAACUCGAGUGCAUGAAGCUGGAAUUACUAGUAAUCGU